This is a non-coding RNA of Danio rerio (zebrafish), 117 nucleotides long. Lineage: Eukaryota; Metazoa; Chordata; Actinopteri; Cypriniformes; Danionidae. The record is from Rfam.
AUUCACAGCCUUAUCACCCUGCAGCCCAAGAGCAGUUACUUACUGAAGCUAAGCAGGGCUGAGCCUGGUCAGAACCUGGAUGGGAGACCACAUGGGAAAACUAGGUUCCUGUUGGAA